CUUUCAUAAUUACUUAUUUUUACAAUGUACCAAACGAAUUCUCAGCUACCCACCAUUCCUCUCAAGGCUCCUCAUUUCUCCGAAUUGCAUGACAACCCACCAUAUUUCAAAUAGAUAGGCUCUUCUGUCGAUCUUUUUCCACUGUCGUUUCUGCAAAACCAGUCAUCCUCUAUGUUUUUUUUUUAUUAUCACAGAUUUUGCCUCUCCUUCUAUCUCCACAGCCAUAACUCCCAAAUCCACUCCCAGUUGGAGUCCCUGAACACAGGCAAGAGCCUCCGCUGCAAAACAGAAGGUACAUUAUCAUUGAGAACAGUUCUUGCUACCAAAACCAUUACAUUCGAAUCCCUAACCAUAAGCCCUGAACAAGACCUAUUAUCCUUCUUGUUGUACGCUAUAUCAAAGUUGAUUCUAGCAAAUGGACUUUUCGGUGGCUUCCAACUCUCAUUCCCCAGCAGAUUAGCAGAUUUGACUCUGACUAGUAUAAUUGUUUUCGAAAAACCAGGUCUCCACUCUUACUGCGCAUUUUGGACAAACAACCACAUUUGUUAGUCUCCUGUAUUGUUGAUUACAUGGAGUAGGGAUAAAGUUUCUACAACAUUUCCAGACUGUAAUUUUCAAUUUAGAGGGCAUGUAAUGCAUGUAUUUUGUCUGGUUUUGUAACUAGUUAGGAUCCCCCGAUAAUUGUAAUAGCUUUUUGUAAGCACUACGAACAAAAUACACACCUGAGGCCUCACCUUUCCACACCAGAUAAUCCUCAUGAGGAAUCCUUGCCAACAGGAUUUUUAAAACUCUCUCAACAUCAGUCACACAGAAGGCACCCAAGCAAUUGGAAUUUUGUUCCAGUUCCAACUCUCUAGCAUAUCCUGUCAUGGAGAAUACCUUUGGUAGCCCAAAUGCUCUUUCAGGUAUAAGAAGGUAUAUUCUCUAACCUUGUGAUGGUUGCCGAUUUCACCAAUAUAAUCCUACACUUAAUUUGCAAACUUGAGCAGUAUAGGGAGUAGGACCGAUUCUUCAGAGACUGGGGUCACGUAAAAUUGUUGCUCUUUCUCGACCAGAUUCGUGUUUGGGCAGUUGUCGUGCCCAAGAAAUUUGAGGAAGGAUAAAAAUUGAAAACCUGAAAUAAACAGAAAAAAGUGUAAAAAGUAAAAGCUGAAAAAAAAAACAGUUAAAUAAAUCUGAAGAAAGAUUAAUUAAACUUAGCUCAGCUUCAGACACGGGUUUUUCCUCAUCUUUGAACUGAUCUUCGAAAUUAGAUGAACUCCUCUUUUCAAAUAAGUUAUUUAUAGUUACCAAGUAUGCCUCGGACACCAACUCCUCAUUGUGUAAAUUAGUUAUGGAACGUCCUAUAACUAAACAUUACCGAUCGAACAACCAACGGAACGUUCGUGGUUUAGAACUCCAGCAGCUUUGCGUUCUAGAAGAGCUUAGCUCGAACCAAUGUUCUCAACUGCGUGGGGCAUUUAAAUCUGGUUACUACUUCCCUUGACAGAACCAAACAACAAUACCCACUUAGCACGCCAACGUGUUCACGAAAAAUUGAUUAGACAAUCGAUCUUUUUGGAAUUCAAACUGUACGUCUAACCACACUAACUCAAACGACGUCUUUUUUGACUUAGUGUUAAUUUAACUUUGUGAGUUGAUGAAGUCAUACUCUUAAUCCGGCUAGAAGUAAUAAAUACUGAAAAUUAAAAAUUGAAUUGCUCGGAUUCGUAA
This is an RNA transcript of Gossypium raimondii (Peruvian cotton), 1713 nucleotides long. RefSeq lists it as uncharacterized. The transcript is spliced from 5 exons. Lineage: Eukaryota; Viridiplantae; Streptophyta; Magnoliopsida; Malvales; Malvaceae. The record is from RefSeq and is a predicted model, not a curated record.